RNAcentral lists this long non-coding RNA (375 nucleotides) under Drosophila guanche. Lineage: Eukaryota; Metazoa; Arthropoda; Insecta; Diptera; Drosophilidae. The record is from RNAcentral.
CGGAGGCAGCAACAACCGUUGCAUCUGCAGCUACAACAACGACGACAGCAGCAUCAGUGACCACUGCAACUACCAAGAAAACAACAAGGAGAUGCUGGAGGGGAAACAAUUGGUGCAACACCCGCAAGCAAGUGAAGUGCAAGAACCCCAAGAAGUGCAUCAAGACUAUUGUGGUAGUGCGUCGCAGAAGGAACUAAAAAUCUACAUAUUCCAAAAUAACAAACAAUAAAUUUUACGACUGCUCUGAAAUCAUACAAGUUUUAUAUUUACAUCCGGCCAAUAGGGGUUCUUUUCUUACACGAGAAGUAAGGCAUUUAACUUGUCCGGCUCCUGGACAUCUAGAAUAUAGACAGUCAGAGGAUUCAUUAAUUUGUC